AGUGAACGCUGGCGGUAGGCCUAACACAUGCAAGUCGAGCGGCAGCACAGUAAGAGCUUGCUCUUACGGGUGGCGAGUGGCGGACGGGUGAGGAAUACAUCGGAAUCUACUUUUUCGUGGGGGAUAACGUAGGGAAACUUACGCUAAUACCGCAUACGACCUACGGGUGAAAGCAGGGGAUCUUCGGACCUUGCGCGAUUGAAUGAGCCGAUGUCGGAUUAGCUAGUUGGCGGGGUAAAGGCCCACCAAGGCGACGAUCCGUAGCUGGUCUGAGAGGAUGAUCAGCCACACUGGAACUGAGACACGGUCCAGACUCCUACGGGAGGCAGCAGUGGGGAAUAUUGGACAAUGGGCGCAAGCCUGAUCCAGCCAUACCGCGUGGGUGAAGAAGGCCUUCGGGUUGUAAAGCCCUUUUGUUGGGAAAGAAAAGCAGCAGGUUAAAACCCCGCUGUUCUGACGGUACCCAAAGAAUAAGCACCGGCUAACUUCGUG
Molecule: ribosomal RNA, 492 nt
Filed under: uncultured bacterium
Lineage: Bacteria
Description: partial 16S ribosomal RNA
Rfam family: Bacterial small subunit ribosomal RNA
Source: RNAcentral